This 491-nucleotide ribosomal RNA is filed under the name uncultured bacterium. Its description in RNAcentral is "bacterial SSU rRNA". It matches the Rfam family "Bacterial small subunit ribosomal RNA", at positions 9 to 518 of the family's 1533-position model. The record is from RNAcentral.
AGAAUUGAUCUUGGUCAGGACGAACGCUGGCGGCGUGCCUAACACAUGCAAGUCGAGCGAGGAGAUCCUUCGGGAUGAUCCUAGCGGCGGACGGGUGAGUAACACGUGGGCAACCUGCCUCAUAGAGAGGAAUAGCCUUCCGAAAGGGAGAUUAAUACCUCAUAACAUUGCAGUUUCGCAUGGAACAGCAAUUAAAGGAGUAAUCCGCUAUGAGAUGGGCCCGCGGCGCAUUAGCUAGUUGGUGAGGUAACGGCUCACCAAGGCGACGAUGCGUAGCCGACCUGAGAGGGUGAUCGGCCACAUUGGGACUGAGACACGGCCCAGACUCCUACGGGAGGCAGCAGUGGGGAAUAUUGCACAAUGGGGGAAACCCUGAUGCAAGCAACGCCGCGUGAGUGAUGACGGCCUUCGGGUUGUAAAGCUCUGUCUUCAGGGACGAUAAUGACGGUACCUGAGGAGGAAGCCACGGCUAACUACGUGCCAGCAGCCGC